Molecule: ribosomal RNA, 497 nt
Filed under: uncultured bacterium
Lineage: Bacteria
Description: partial 16S ribosomal RNA
Rfam family: Bacterial small subunit ribosomal RNA
Source: RNAcentral
GACGAACGCUGGCGGCGUGCCUAAUACAUGCAAGUUGAGCGCUGAAGGUUGGUACUUGUACCAACUGGAUGAGCAGCGAACGGGUGAGUAACGCGUGGGGAAUCUGCCUUUGAGCGGGGGACAACAUUUGGAAACGAAUGCUAAUACCGCAUAAAAACUUUAAACACAAGUUUUAAGUUUGAAAGAUGCAAUUGCAUCACUCAAAGAUGAUCCCGCGUUGUAUUAGCUAGUUCGUGAGGUAAAGGCUCACCAAGGCGAUGAUACAUAGCCGACCUGAGAGGGUGAUCGGCCACAUUGGGACUGAGACACGGCCCAAACUCCUACGGGAGGCAGCAGUAGGGAAUCUUCGGCAAUGGACGAAAGUCUGACCGAGCAACGCCGCGUGAGUGAAGAAGGUUUUCGGAUCGUAAAACUCUGUUGGUAGAGAAGAACGUUGGUGAGAGUGGAAAGCUCAUCAAGUGACGGUAACUACCCAGAAAGGGACGGCUAACUACGUG